This 400-nucleotide ribosomal RNA is filed under the name uncultured bacterium. Its description in RNAcentral is "bacterial SSU rRNA". It matches the Rfam family "Bacterial small subunit ribosomal RNA", at positions 359 to 776 of the family's 1533-position model. The record is from RNAcentral.
GAAUAUUGGACAAUGGGCGCAAGCCUGAUCCAGCCAUGCCGCGUGAGUGAAGAAGGCCUUAGGGUUGUAAAGCUCUUUCACCCGUGACGAUGAUGACGGUAGCGGGAGAAGAAGCCCCGGCUAACUCCGUGCCAGCAGCCGCGGUAAUACGGAGGGGGCAAGCGUUGUUCGGAAUUACUGGGCGUAAAGGGCGCGUAGGCGGACCUUCAAGUCAGGGGUGAAAGGCCUGGGCUCAACCUGGGAACUGCCUUUGAAACUGGAGGUCUUGAGUCCGGGAGAGGAUGGCGGAAUUCCCAGUGUAGAGGUGAAAUUCGUAGAUAUUGGGAAGAACACCGGUGGCGAAGGCGGCCAUCUGGUCCGGCACUGACGCUGAGGCGCGAAAGCGUGGGGAGCAAACAGG